This 253-nucleotide ribosomal RNA is filed under the name uncultured bacterium. Its description in RNAcentral is "partial 16S ribosomal RNA". It matches the Rfam family "Bacterial small subunit ribosomal RNA", at positions 524 to 776 of the family's 1533-position model. The record is from RNAcentral.
UACGAAGGGGGCUAGCGUUGUUCGGAAUCACUGGGCGUAAAGCGCACGUAGGCGGAUUGUUAAGUCGGGGGUGAAAUCCUGAGGCUCAACCUCAGAACUGCCUUCGAUACUGGCAAUCUCGGGUCCGGAAGAGGUUGGUGGAACAGCUAGUGUAGAGGUGAAAUUCGUAGAUAUUAGCUAGAACACCAGUGGCGAAGGCGGCCAACUGGUCCGGUACUGACGCUGAGGUGCGAAAGCGUGGGGAGCAAACAGG